CUGAGACUGAACUUGGAUGCAAACUGCUGUAGCUGCCAUUGUCAAGCUGUCAGCGGACUCGUGUAAUUAUCCUCUUGAAAAGUAUCGCGGAGCCAUUAUCCACAAAGUACCCGUUAUAGGUGCUCAGAGGCAACACAUGACGAGGGGCAGAUGUACCUUCAGCAUCCGGUGACGACGUCCACGAGAAGGGGAAGAUGAACCGGCCUUUCUGAUCAAAGGACCCGUCUAUAAAGCUGAAGGCUGGCCUUCCUAGACGGUGAAUCACUGCACAUUGGACUGGAUGUCCAGCCAGGCCCCCC
Long non-coding RNA from Etheostoma cragini (Arkansas darter), 299 nucleotides. RefSeq lists it as uncharacterized. NCBI's taxonomy places the organism in Eukaryota, Metazoa, Chordata, Actinopteri, Perciformes, Percidae. The transcript is spliced from 3 exons. The record is from RefSeq and is a predicted model, not a curated record.